This 842-nucleotide small RNA is filed under the name Vigna angularis var. angularis. Its description in RNAcentral is "Non-protein coding transcript". Lineage: Eukaryota; Viridiplantae; Streptophyta; Magnoliopsida; Fabales; Fabaceae. The record is from RNAcentral.
CCUUCUCCUCCCACAUCUUUUCUCAUCUUCCAAAAAUGAAACCUAAGCUAACUCUUCACCCUUCUUUCAUCUUCGUUCUGUUGCUCAUCUCAACCAUUGCUCCGACCUAUCUCUGUGACGAUGAUGCUCAGUACACCAACUGUAGUAACGCUUUUACAUGCGGAGAUACCAAGCUGGAUCUCAGGUACCCCUUCUCGGGAAAAAACAGAGGUAGUUAUUGCGGCGAAGAGAAGCUCACGUGUGAAGAAGGAGUCCCAAAGAUAACCAUCAACGAUGCCAAGUACCGUAUUCUUGAUUGGCGUAAUACAACACAGACAAUAACAAUGGCCAGGGAUGAUUAUUGGGAUAAUAUAUGUGUGAGUGAGUACAAGAACAGCACCUUUGAUAACACUCACUUUCAAUAUGAUCACCAAUAUAAUUAUCUUGGUAACGUCACGCUCUUUUAUUGCCCUUCCGAUUCACAUCCUUCUGUACUCACGGAAUUUGAUAGACAAAAUUGUGGUGCUGAUAAAUUUGUCUUCUACACUCCCCUACCUGUACCUCCGUACUCGGGGAAUUGUGCGGUUGUGGUGAUUCCGAUAUUUGAAUCCAACGCUUCACUUGUGUCUGAAAGCAAUAUAAGCGAUGCGUUACGGAAUGGUUUUGAGUUGAAUUGGGAGGGAGAUAACGGGAAGUGUGAGAAAUGCAGUAAUUCUGGUGGAGAGUGUGGAGUUGAUGAAGGAGAUGGAGGAUUUCAAUGUUUCUGCGUGGAUGGACCCCGUUCUGCUACAUGCAAAGGAAAAAGAAAAGUAUCAUUGCGAAUAUGGAUAUUGAUUAUUGUACCUACAACUGUUUUUAUAACA